Molecule: ribosomal RNA, 445 nt
Filed under: uncultured bacterium
Lineage: Bacteria
Description: bacterial SSU rRNA
Rfam family: Bacterial small subunit ribosomal RNA
Source: RNAcentral
CCAGACUCCUACGGGAGGCAGCAGUCGGGAAUAUUGCGCAAUGGAGGAAACUCUGACGCAGUGACGCCGCGUAUAGGACGAAGGUCUUCGGAUUGUAAACUAUUGUCGUUAGGGAAGAGAAAGGACAGUACCUAAGGAGGAAGCUCCGGCUAACUACGUGCCAGCAGCCGCGGUAAUACGUAGGGAGCAAGCGUUAUCCGGAUUUAUUGGGUGUAAAGGGUGCGUAGACGGGAAAUUAAGUUAGUUGUGAAAUCCCUCGGCUCAACUGAGGAACUGCAACUAAAACUGGUUUUCUUGAGUGUUGGAGAGGAAAGCGGAAUUCCUAGUGUAGCGGUGAAAUGCGUAGAUAUUAGGAGGAACACCAGUGGCGAAGGCGGCUUUCUGGACAAUAACUGACGUUGAGGCACGAAAGUGUGGGGAGCAAACAGGAUUAGAUACCCUUGUA